RNAcentral lists this microRNA precursor (96 nucleotides) under Sorex araneus (European shrew). RNAcentral's name for it is "miRNA (ENSSARG00000016919.1)". The record is from RNAcentral. Lineage: Eukaryota; Metazoa; Chordata; Mammalia; Eulipotyphla; Soricidae.
AUCUGUGUGUGUGUGUGUGUGUGUGUGUGUGUGUGUGUGUGUGUGCGCGCGCGCUCGCAUGCGUGCACGCUCGGACCACACCUGGCCAUACCAAGG